Molecule: ribosomal RNA, 642 nt
Filed under: Triticum aestivum (bread wheat)
Lineage: Eukaryota; Viridiplantae; Streptophyta; Magnoliopsida; Poales; Poaceae
Description: partial small subunit ribosomal RNA
Source: RNAcentral
AUGAUAGAUUUUCGUGAUGUGCUGGAAGUUUGCAGAUUGGGUGAUCUUGGUUUUGCAGGAUUACCCUACACAUAUGAUAACAAACGCGAAGGGCGGGCGAAUGUCAAGGUACGCCUCGACCGAGCCGUUGCGAAUAAUUCCUGGAGGGAUAUUUUUGGUCAUGCGAAGGUUGAGCACUUGGUGUCUCCUAGCUCAGAUCAUUUGCCCAUCCUGCUCCGCUGCUUAAUUGAGGAGCCUUUCUGGGUUGCUGGAAGGAGAUGCCGCCAAUAUGAGGUCAUGUGGGAAAGGGACCCCUCUUUACCGGAGGUAAUUAUGAAUACAUGGACUGAAUUAGGGUCUAUGCUUAAACUUGGUGAUAUUGCUUCUGGUUUGGAAAUUUGAUGAAACAGUUGCAGGAUUGGAGCUGAUUUUUUUGGUAAUAUCAUUAAGGAAAUUAAUAAAUCUUGCUCUCAUCAGGAGGAGCUUAUGUCCAUGAACGCAGAUAGAAAGGACAUCAGAGAGGCCACUGAUAGACUGAACGAACUCUUGUAUCAUGAGGAGAUGCUUUGGAUGCAGCGGUCGCGGAUUGCAUGGUUAAAGGAAGGGGAUCGGAACACUCGGUUUUUUCGGAAGGUUGUCUGGCAGCCAGCAAAAAUCAGAUAA